Molecule: ribosomal RNA, 460 nt
Filed under: uncultured bacterium
Lineage: Bacteria
Description: partial 16S ribosomal RNA
Rfam family: Bacterial small subunit ribosomal RNA
Source: RNAcentral
CCUACGGGGGGCAGCAGUGAGGAAUAUUGGUCAAUGGACGCAAGUCUGAACCAGCCAUACCGCGUGCAGGAAGACGGCCCUAUGAGUUGUAAACUGCUUUUGUACGAGGGUAAACGCAGAUACGUGUAUCUGUCUGAAAGUAUCGUAUGAAUAAGGAUCGGCUAACUCCGUGCCAGCAGCCGCGGUAAUACGGAGGAUUCAAGCGUUGUCCGGAUUUAUUGGGUUUAAAGGGUGCGUAGGCGGUCGGUUAAGUUAGAGGUGAAAUUCCGGGGCUCAACUUCGGAAUUGCCUUUGAUACUGGUCGGCGAGAGAGUAGUUGAGGUAGGCGGAAUGGAUGGUGUAGCGGUGAAAUGCUUAGAGAUCAUACAGAACACCGAGUGCGAAGGCAGCUUACCAAGCUACUUCUGACGUUGAGGCACGAAAGCGUGGGGAGCAAACAGGAUUAGAUACCCCAGUAGUC